AGCACAGUGACAGAGGGACCCCAGGCUUUUUUUCGGGGGAUGACUGAAGCUAUCACCUUGCUAAUCCUUGCUGUCCAAACUGGCCUCAUUGAGCUGCAGGUCAUCCACAGAGCCAGUAUAAUGACAUCUGUGCUAUCUGCUUCCAGGACAUGACCAGUGCUGUGUUCACUCCGUGCAGUCAUUUCUUCCACGCUGGCUGUCUGAUGCCCUCUCUGUCGUUCACAACCAAGAGCGAAUCACCAACUAACGGUGGAGCUACCCAAGGUACACCUGCAGCCAAUCAGAACCCUGCAGGACAGGAAGAAGGCACUCUACUGGAUGACAGGAAAGAGGGAGCGUCAGUAAAGCAGGACGGAGAUAAUGAAACUGCCACAUCAGCUGGGGAAACCUCCUCUUCCACCUCCCCCACUGGCAUGUCUGCUCCCCUGCCCAUCGUCAAACCUCCAUUAUCAUCUUCCUCUUGUUCUUCUUCUCCUCUUGCAACUGAUUCUGUGCUCCACCAGUCCCCUGCAGAUCACCCUUCUGCAUCUUCUUUCUCUACCUCUUACACAUCAGACACACCCGACGCUCCUGCAUCUCUCUGCCAUUCUGUCUCCACCUUUCACCAACCAACUUCACAGAGGUCCUUCCCCUUGAGUGUGAGGAUGUUGAAGAUAUUGAAGAUAUUGGUAGUCCUGAUGUGAAAGCAGAGCUUCCCUCCCACCUCAGCAUCACUAAGGAUGUUAUGGAGCGCUGCAUUCAUCUGCUGUCUGAUCCCAGCCUCAGGCUCCGACUCAAGGUACUGGACGUGCUGGAGUUGUGCCUUCAGGUGCUGAGUGAGAGGGAAAACGAACUGCUGCCUAUGGCUCAUCGCUGCUGGCCAGCACUCCUGCAGAGACUCACAGCCGAUGACCCAUUAGCAGUCCUCAGAGCCUUCAGGGGCUGCCGUGCAGGUCACCUACAGCUCCACCAGUCACACGUCUGUACGAUCAGGGGAGCCCACUGGAGACAAGUCCACAGGAAGCAUGUGGAAGAUGAUUCUGGUGCUGCUGCCUUUAGCUGUGUUAUCAGCUGUGUGCUACUACGCCUACGCCUACAUCGUGUGAUGAACAGUGGAAGGAUUGUUCCAUCGAUGUCACAUCGAGAUUCUUUUUUUGUGCUUCACCACUUUUUACUUGGACUCUGCUACAGUAGCUUCACAUUGUGCUGUCCAACUUUAAAGCCAAAGCUUCUAGUGACCAGCCAGUUUUGAGUUUUUACAACUCUAAUACUGUCGAUUAUGUUAUUGUUAAUACAGGAAAAAAGUGGGACUGUCAGGUAAUAUCUGUGCUGACCUUGCAGUUGCAGUUAUUAUUACUCUGUAGCUGUACUCUAUAGUUAUUACUCUGCUAGAAUCAUUUUACUGUUGAAAAUAAUACUUAUUUAUGUGUUACUGGCCUUUGGUGCAGCUCCCCACUUCAUCUUCUGUCUGAAACAACUGUUUUAACUCCUCUAACAUUAAAGCCAUCCAUGUAUCCUUUUUCUUAUCUAAUUCAGGGUCAAAUGUAAUUGUUGAAUGACAGUUUUAAGCAGUGUCCUUUUUUAUUAUUUUCUAUUUACCCGAGUUUUGAGAUGUACUUAAUCAUGUGGCACCAGAGAAAGAAAACCGAAGAAGAUUCAAAACACUGGACUCACACUGAGUCGUUGUGUCGACAGUGACAGUAGACAAGUUGAUUACAGCGCUGUGUAACAAGUUUACACCUGCCUCUGUCCAGUUUAUCCAAACCUGCUACAUAGGAUUUAAAAUGUUACUUUAAAUCUAAAAUGCUGUCUUCCUGCUGUUCUGUAAAGUAUCACUCCUAAACAGUGUGUGCGUCAGUGUAACAGUGUGUAAUAAUAAUAAUAAUAAUAAUAAUGAUAAUAAUACAGUUUCUUAGUCACUGUAAAGCAGAAAGAAUUAAACUCUUAAUAAAAUGUGACUGACAAGAAAUGUAAUGAGGCAAAUUGUUAAAGGUAUUUUUUGUAAAAAUAAAAAAAAAUCAGAAAAUGUAAUGAAGACAUUUUACAAGAAA
This is an RNA transcript of Oreochromis niloticus (Nile tilapia), 2030 nucleotides long. RefSeq lists it as uncharacterized. NCBI's taxonomy places the organism in Eukaryota, Metazoa, Chordata, Actinopteri, Cichliformes, Cichlidae. The transcript is spliced from 6 exons. The record is from RefSeq and is a predicted model, not a curated record.